This 357-nucleotide long non-coding RNA is filed under the name Anser brachyrhynchus (Pink-footed goose). RNAcentral's name for it is "lncRNA (ENSABRG00000012779.1)". The record is from RNAcentral. Lineage: Eukaryota; Metazoa; Chordata; Aves; Anseriformes; Anatidae.
AGGACCUCUAUUAGGUAGGAGUUAAGCCUAUGCUUGUAUCUUACUGAUUCAACUAGAUUUUAACACUGGUUUAAUUAAGUAUCAAAUCCUUUCUGUCAAUGGAUGGAAUCGCAGAGGACCACAUAGCAGUAACAGUAUGAUCCCCUGACUGACAGCCCUGUUCAUACAGCAACAUCUUGUCUCAGGCGACUUCAAGAAGUGCAUUUGUACAUUUCUGCUGAAUUAAAUUGGAAUUCUGCACCCUUGACAUCCUCCUACCCUCCUGGUCUCUGCGGAAGGAGACAGCAACCUGCGCAGCACAACAAAACUGUGAGUACAGGUCUAUUUAUUUUUAUUUUCAGUCUGAAAAGCAAAUCG